AGUCGUAACAAGGUUUCCGUAGGUGAACCUGCGGAAGGAUCAUUGUCGUGACCCUGACCAAAACAGACCGCGCACGAGUUAUCUAGCCCCGCUGGGCGGCGGCAUCGUCCGUCGCUUGGCAAAAGUCCUCGACAACCUCAUCUUUUCGGAGUUGGGGCUCGGGGUAAAAGAACCCACGGCGCCGUAGGCGUCAAGGAACACUGUGCCUAACGAGGGGAUGUGGCUGGCUUGCUAGCCGCACCCCGAGUUGCAAUUCUAUAUAAUCCACACGACUCUCGGCAACGGAUAUCUCGGCUCUC
Molecule: unclassified non-coding RNA, 299 nt
Filed under: fungal sp.
Lineage: Eukaryota; Fungi
Description: partial internal transcribed spacer region
Rfam family: Eukaryotic small subunit ribosomal RNA (bases 1-45)
Source: RNAcentral